GACGAACGCUGGCGGCGUGCUUAACACAUGCAAGUCGAACGGAAAGGCCCUGCUUUUGUGGGGUGCUCGAGUGGCGAACGGGUGAGUAACACGUGAGUAACCUGCCCUUGACUUUGGGAUAACUUCAGGAAACUGGGGCUAAUACCGGAUAGGAGCUCCUGCUGCAUGGUGGGGGUUGGAAAGUUUCGGCGGUUGGGGAUGGACUCGCGGCUUAUCAGCUUGUUGGUGGGGUAGUGGCUUACCAAGGCUUUGACGGGUAGCCGGCCUGAGAGGGUGACCGGCCACAUUGGGACUGAGAUACGGCCCAGACUCCUACGGGAGGCAGCAGUGGGGAAUAUUGCACAAUGGGCGGAAGCCUGAUGCAGCAACGCCGCGUGCGGGAUGACGGCCUUCGGGGUGUAAACCGCUUUCGCCUGUGACGAAGCGUGAGUGACGGGAAGGGGUAAAGAAGCACCGGCUAACUACG
This 466-nucleotide ribosomal RNA is filed under the name uncultured bacterium. Its description in RNAcentral is "partial 16S ribosomal RNA". It matches the Rfam family "Bacterial small subunit ribosomal RNA", at positions 28 to 505 of the family's 1533-position model. The record is from RNAcentral.